This 466-nucleotide ribosomal RNA is filed under the name uncultured bacterium. RNAcentral describes it as "partial 16S ribosomal RNA". It matches the Rfam family "Bacterial small subunit ribosomal RNA", at positions 29 to 506 of the family's 1533-position model. The record is from RNAcentral.
ACGAACGCUGGCGGCGUGCUUAACACCUGCAAGUCGAACGGAAAGGCCCUGCUUUUGUGGGGUGCUCGAGUGGCGAACGGGUGAGUAACACGUGAGUAACCUGCCCUUGACUUUGGGAUAACUUCAGGAAACUGGGGCUAAUACCGGAUAGGAGCUCCUGCUGCAUGGUGGGGGUUGGAAAGUUUCGGCGGUUGGGGAUGGACUCGCGGCUUAUCAGCUUGUUGGUGGGGUAGUGGCUUACCAAGGCUUUGACGGGUAGCCGGCCUGGGAGGGUGACCGGCCACAUUGGGACUGAGAUACGGCCCAGACUCCUACGGGAGGCAGCAGUGGGGAAUAUUGCACAAUGGGCGGAAGCCUGAUGCAGCAACGCCGCGUGCGGGAUGACGGCCUUCGGGUUGUAAACCGCUUUCGCCUGUGACGAAGCGUGAGUGACGGUAAUGGGUAAAGAAGCACCGGCUAACUACGU